GCCCGGGUGGCGAAAUCGGUAGACGCAGCGGACUUAAAAUCCGCCGGGUUCACACCCUUGCCGGUUCAAGUCCGGCCCCGGGCACCA
RNAcentral lists this transfer RNA (87 nucleotides) under Lysobacter sp. RNAcentral describes it as "tRNA-Leu". It matches the Rfam family "tRNA". From Rfam's summary of the family: Transfer RNA (tRNA) molecules are approximately 80 nucleotides in length. Their secondary structure includes four short double-helical elements and three loops (D, anti-codon, and T loops). The record is from RNAcentral. Lineage: Bacteria; Pseudomonadati; Pseudomonadota; Gammaproteobacteria; Lysobacterales; Lysobacteraceae. RNAcentral also lists the same sequence under 1 other name.